Molecule: transfer RNA, 72 nt
Filed under: Candidatus Iainarchaeum sp.
Lineage: Archaea; Nanobdellati; Candidatus Iainarchaeota; Candidatus Iainarchaeia; Candidatus Iainarchaeales; Candidatus Iainarchaeaceae
Description: tRNA-Asn
Rfam family: tRNA
About the family: Transfer RNA (tRNA) molecules are approximately 80 nucleotides in length. Their secondary structure includes four short double-helical elements and three loops (D, anti-codon, and T loops). Further hydrogen bonds mediate the characteristic L-shaped molecular structure. tRNAs have two regions of fundamental functional importance: the anti-codon, which is responsible for specific mRNA codon recognition, and the 3' end, to which the tRNAs corresponding amino acid is attached (by aminoacyl-tRNA synthetases). tRNAs cope with the degeneracy of the genetic code in two manners: having more than one tRNA (with a specific anti-codon) for a particular amino acid; and 'wobble' base-pairing, i.e. permitting non-standard base-pairing at the 3rd anti-codon position.
Source: RNAcentral
GCCCUGGUAGCUCAGUGGUAGAGCGCCCGGCUGUUAACCGGUAGGUCGAAGGUUCAAAUCCUUCCCAGGGCG